Molecule: ribosomal RNA, 414 nt
Filed under: uncultured microorganism
Description: bacterial SSU rRNA
Rfam family: Archaeal small subunit ribosomal RNA
Source: RNAcentral
CAGCCGCCGCGGUAAUACCGGCGGCCCGAGUGGCGGUCACUAUUAUUGGGCUUAAAGCGUCCGUAGCCGGGUUGGGAAGUCCUCCGGGAAAUCUGGCCGCUUAACGGUCAGAAUGCCGGAGGAUACUCCCAGCCUAGGGAGCGGGAGAGGCCGAGGGUAUUCCCGGAGUAGGGGUGAAAUCCUAUAAUCCCGGGCGGACCACCUGUGGCGAAGGCGCUCGGCUGGGACGCGUCCGACGGUGAGGGACGAAGGCCAGGGGAGCAAACCGGAUUAGAUACCCGGGUAGUCCUGGCUGUAAACGAUGCGGACUUUGUGUCGGACAAGCUAUGAGCUUGUCCGGUGCCGGAGGGAAACCGUUAAGUCCGCCGCCUGGGGAGUACGGCCGCAAGGCUGAAACUUAAAGGAAUUGGCGGG